GUAAAUAUAGUUUACCUAAAACGUUAGAUUGUGAUUCUAAAAACAAGGAAUAAUAACCCUUUAUUUACC
This 69-nucleotide transfer RNA is filed under the name Indotyphlus maharashtraensis. RNAcentral's name for it is "tRNA-His". It matches the Rfam family "tRNA". Rfam says of the family: Transfer RNA (tRNA) molecules are approximately 80 nucleotides in length. Their secondary structure includes four short double-helical elements and three loops (D, anti-codon, and T loops). Further hydrogen bonds mediate the characteristic L-shaped molecular structure. tRNAs have two regions of fundamental functional importance: the anti-codon, which is responsible for specific mRNA codon recognition, and the 3' end, to which the tRNAs corresponding amino acid is attached (by aminoacyl-tRNA synthetases). tRNAs cope with the degeneracy of the genetic code in two manners: having more than one tRNA (with a specific anti-codon) for a particular amino acid; and 'wobble' base-pairing, i.e. permitting non-standard base-pairing at the 3rd anti-codon position. Lineage: Eukaryota; Metazoa; Chordata; Amphibia; Gymnophiona; Indotyphlidae. The record is from RNAcentral.